CGGCAGGAAGCGCGCGUGGGAGGGCGCUGCCUCCCCGCCCAGGAUCGCGGUAGCCCUGGGGCGGCGACGGAGUAUUGACUUCCUCCCACCUCUGCGGAGGAAGCUGGAGGCGCUGUCCUCCGGGCUCCGGGGUGCCCACCUGGGGAGGCGGAGGGGCCACACCUGUUCCGACCAGGCAGGCGACAUGCCCUCGGGUUGAAGUGUUAGGACCCCGUGCAGGGCAGGAACACACCGGGGGCGCAUGCACGGGGCAGCGUUGGUGAAAGCCUCUCCAGGCUCUGGCUUUCUCUAAGGAGGACCCUCCUAGCUUUAGCUCCAUGACAUUUCAACAGCCAGCGUUUCCUUGACACCAUUCUGGGUCAACAGUGGCUGCCGGUGCUCUUCACUCCGUGGACAGCCGUGGGGGCAUCUUUCCAGACGCCAGGAGCAGGAAGCUGCCUGCUCAUCCUGAACAAGCCUCCCUGUGAGAGUCAUCUGGGUAAAAUAGUUUUUAGGAACUAGACACAAUCCCUCAGUGUACCCAGGUCCUCGGUGUUAGGAGAGAGCAAGUUAGCAUCCCCACAAACGGUCCCCAUAGAGUGUGUCCCCCUGACCCCCCUCACCUGCCUCCCCGCACCCAGCUCAAGACAUUCGGGUCUCCCCCAUCGGCAGCCCGCCCUACUGUGCCAGGCUGGGAGCUAAGUACUUGACAUUCCUUAUCUCCUUUAAUCUUCACGAUAACCCCAUGAUCUGGAUAUUGUAAUCACCUGAUCUCACAGACGAGGAAACAAGCUUGCAGCUGUCCAGGAACUGCCAGGACCACAAAGCUGACCCUCGCCACAUGUUGUCUCCUCUCUGAAGCCUUCCCUGAUUUUUUGUGGCCCAAGCUAGCCUGUGUGCUCUGAGCCCCACCCCACUACCACACUGCUGCCUCUGGGAGAAUGUCUGCCACAUGGAACUUCAGCUUACCUGCUCAUCUGAUGCCCACCUGGAUGGUAGUAUAAGUUGCUGUUCCUGCCUGGGCUCCAGAUCUUCCCAGCUUCAGUAGCUCCAACCACUAACUAAUGUAUCCUCAAUCCUAGUUCCAAACUGCUCUAGCUUAGGUCUGACACUCACCCCAGCUGCGUGGAAUAAUUAUGGCCACCUGGACCCAUCCCAUGAAAUGAAGGGACAAGGCAGGAAAAGGAGGUGAAAGCCAGCAGAAACCUCGAACGGUGCUAUUGCAGGGUCCAUCAGGACCUCUCCAUAGUAACCACAUAAAAGACAAAAAUAGAAGAGGACUGUGAUGAUCCUGCCAAAGGACAGUGCACCUGGGAUUGCAGCUUCCCCAGCCCCGUCCUGAAGCCCAGCGCACACAGACUCCAUUCCCAUGUUAGCUCAAGUGGUAGAUGGAAAUCCAAGACGGCUUCCAAGACAUCCCCAGUGCUGUGUAUGCCUGCAAAAUUCCCUCCCCUGAGUGUGGGCCUGGGAAUAUGAUGGGAUAGUCACUCCAGUGACUAGGUUAUGUUAUAUAACCCAAGUGAUCAGAUGCUCCCACAAUUUCUGUUACUUUAUAUAAGACUGUGGUAGCAGAUAGAGGAAGGAUUCUCCUGCUGGCCUUGAAGAAGGAAGCUUCAAUGUUGUGAGAGGCCCAUGCGGCUAGGACCUAAAGGUGGCCUCUAGGACUUCAGCCUGACCCAAGCCCCAACUUGACACUUCUUUCCAGAAAAAAAUCAGAUACCUCAGUCAUAAGACCACAGGCACUGCAAUUCUGCCAACCGUCUGAAUCAGCUUGGCAGAGGACCCGAGGUUCAGGUGGGAAUGCAGGCCCAGUCCACACCUGAUUUCAGCUUGGUGACAUGCUAAACAGAGGACCCAGCUGUGGCACCAUGCCUGGACUACAGAAGCUGUGAGAUAAUAAACUCAUGUUUUUUGUUACUAAAUUUGUGGUAGUUUGUUACACAGCAACAAAAAACUAAUAAAUCUAACUCAGGGAGAAAUCAUGGGGCAUUAGGCAUGCCCAGAGGACUAAGUUUCAAAUGUUCAAUGUCAAAUCAAAUGUCUACAUGAAUAAAAAUAUCAUGUAAGUCCCCAUAUGACUGCUUUACUCCAGACUUCAGCUUUCCAGGCCACCCACAUUCUCCAUCACCCAAUUCUCACAGGUUGGGGCUGGGGCCAGGAGAGCUGUCCCCCAGUGCAGACAUUGAGGGGGAAGUAGGUAGCCAUCCAGCUCAGGGAAUGAAAAUAACAUGAUGCUAGUUUCACUUUAAAUAUUUGGAUUUAUGUAAAGGAUUAAUAACAACCAGAUUGUGAGGGGAACCCAGCAUUCCCAAACAUCAUUACUGUGAGUAUAAAUUGGAUCUGCUUUUCAGGGUACAAUUUGGCAAAAUCUAUUAAAUUGCAAAAUGCACAUAUUCUUUAAUUCAGCAAUACUUCUUUUAAGAAUUUGCCCUACAGGAAUUUCAGCACAGGGUCCAAUUAUAUAUAUGUACAAGAAUGUUCAUUGCAGCAUUAUUUGCAAAAGAAAAAAAUUGGCAAUAACUUGCAUGCCUAUCAAUAAAUGGUUAAAUAAAUUGUGAUUCGUUCACUGGAAUACUAUUCAGCUGUUGAAAAAAUGAGGUUCAUUUAUAUGUGUUGACAUUUCUUUGUCAUAUCUAUGAUAUACUGUUAAGGGGGAAAAGCAAGUUGCAGAACAUUAUAUAGAGCAUAUCAUUUUUGUUCAAAGUAAUUACAUAUUUAUAUGUUAAAAUAUGCAUAGAAAAAAUGGAAAAAUAAAAACCAAAUUUUUAAGAAGAGUUAUUUCUUGAAUUAUGGGGAAAUUUCUGUUUUAUAUAUACUUUUGGAUUAUGUUCUAUGAUGGGGGACUUUCUGUAUUAUGCAUUUCUGUAUUGUUAGAAAAAUUUACCAUGUGCAUUUGUUAAUUUUAUAAUAAAACAAUAAAUAAUUUUUUAAAAAUUGGAUUCAACACCCCUAGAUCCUUCAUCUACUGUCUAAGAAACUAAUGCAAGCCAGCUAGACUUCCCAUAAGGGCAAAUGUGCAGUGAAGAAUAACUACCCAAGGAGAAGUCUGGCCUUUGCCAUUGGUUACUGGGAGGUGAGCUCUAGGCCUUUGGAAGGCCCUGUCAGAGAGCAGUGUCUUUGUUGCUGGUGGCUUUGGGCGCUGAACAUUCUGACAGUGUGAUUUAUG
This is a long non-coding RNA of Manis javanica (Malayan pangolin), 3145 nucleotides long. RefSeq lists it as uncharacterized. NCBI's taxonomy places the organism in Eukaryota, Metazoa, Chordata, Mammalia, Pholidota, Manidae. The record is from RefSeq and is a predicted model, not a curated record.